This 297-nucleotide unclassified non-coding RNA is filed under the name uncultured fungus. Its description in RNAcentral is "sequence contains ITS2". The stretch from base 1 to 52 matches the Rfam family "5.8S ribosomal RNA", at positions 103 to 154 of the family's 154-position model. The record is from RNAcentral. Lineage: Eukaryota; Fungi.
AACGCACCUUGCGCCCUUUGGUAUUCCGAAGGGCAUGCCUGUUUGAGUGUCAUUAAAUUCUCAACCUUGAAAAGCUUUAUUGUUCUUCAAGGCUUGGAUCUGGGGGUUGCAGGCUUUUUCAAAGUCGGCUCCUCUGAAAUGCAUUAGCUGGGUUUGCGCCUUCAGCCUAUUGGUGUGAUAAUUAUCUACGCCUCUUGUGUUGUUAGCGUGUUUUACUUUCCAGCUUCAAACCGUCCUUCAUUGGACAAUAUUUGACUAUUUGACCUCAAAUCAGGUAGGACUACCCGCUGAACUUAA